This 215-nucleotide unclassified non-coding RNA is filed under the name uncultured Ascomycota. RNAcentral describes it as "sequence contains ITS1". Lineage: Eukaryota; Fungi; Ascomycota. The record is from RNAcentral.
CCGAGUUAGGGUUCCUCUCACGGGCCCGACCUCCCAACCCUGUGUCUAUCACACCUUGUCGUUGCUUCGGCGGACCGGUUAGACCCUCCACUGGCGAGUCUGACCGCCGGGGGUGCCACACUCCUGGAGAGCGUCCGCCGAUGGCCCAACCACAAACAACUUCUUUGUCCCAAACCGGUCGUCUAAAGAAUUAGUUGAUAUAAAAUCAAAAAACA